Long non-coding RNA from Centrocercus urophasianus (Greater sage-grouse), 642 nucleotides. RefSeq lists it as uncharacterized. The record is from RefSeq and is a predicted model, not a curated record. The transcript has 3 exons. NCBI's taxonomy places the organism in Eukaryota, Metazoa, Chordata, Aves, Galliformes, Phasianidae.
UGUACAAAUAUUUAUGCAAUUCCUUUAUAUUUUUCACUCUGUGGUUAUUAUGUCUUGGACUCACUGCAGAUAACAGAGAACUUAACAUUCCUGGGAGGUGAAUGGCACUCAUUGAAGUUGGCUCAUUCACACAAAAAUUCCAAGAGACUGUUUCCUAGACAACAGGAGAGCUGUGGUACAUCCACAAAAACUGUGCACUGCUGUGUAUCUGCUCUUCAGUCAAACACCUGGUGGCAGCUGCUGCUCCCACUGAUGAUACGGACAGGAUGCAACUGUUUCUAUAGCCAGAAACAAAUUCUUUGAUCUAAGCAAGUCAGAGAAGCUGUUGAUUCAUAGGUUUCCUGACAUAAACUUACUGGCACAGGCAGCAGUGCUGUGAGUUGUGUUUGUGUAGGAGGUGAGCAGAGCAGAAGUGUUUGUCAGUGUGCAAAAAGUGAGCACGGGAAGCAGUGUGACUUACUGCUGAGCUUGGCUGUUCUGCAGGCCAGGCACCUCUUCAGAAUGCUGACAAUCAUUGUAAGCGAUGGACAACGGACAGAGGUCUGCUGCCUUGGGAGAGGAUGUGCUGCUGUUCUGCUCCUUUGAUGUCAGCCAUACAGAGGGAUUAAAUGACUCUCUGCAAAACGUGUUGAAGUAAUUUAU